RNAcentral lists this ribosomal RNA (253 nucleotides) under uncultured bacterium. Its description in RNAcentral is "partial 16S ribosomal RNA". It matches the Rfam family "Bacterial small subunit ribosomal RNA", at positions 524 to 776 of the family's 1533-position model. The record is from RNAcentral.
UACAGAGGUCUCAAGCGUUGUUCGGAUUCAUUGGGCGUAAAGGGCGCGUAGGCGGCGGGGUAAGUCGGGUGUGAAAUCUCAGGGCUCAACCCUGAAACUGCACUCGAUACUGCUCUGCUUGAGGACUGGAGAGGAGACUGGAAUUCACGGUGUAGCAGUGAAAUGCGUAGAGAUCGUGAGGAAGAUCAGUGGCGAAGGCGGGUCUCUGGACAGUUCCUGACGCUGAGGCGCGAAGGCCAGGGGAGCAAACGGG